CCCACCUGCCUGUAGCCUGGGAGUGUGUCGUCUGAACUGGAGCCUGAAGCACGCUGCACGGUAGCAACCAACAUUGCUAUCCAUGUUGAAUAUUGCUGCUGCAGCAGCCAGGAAUGCUGGGGAUAGAGGUCGGUGAAGACCUUGCUUGCCUGUCGAAUAAACCAAGUAAUGAGAAAAUCAAAUAAGCUGUCCAGGGACUGGUUGUGGUGUAUGAAACACUUCUUUUCAAUUUCAAAAGCAGUUGUGUUGGGUAUUUGAGAAUAGUGGCAGCACGACAUGAGGGUAUGACACUCUGGCAAUUGGUUAUACUCCCUUCUCUAUUUUGUAUUGUUGGAUAUAUUGACGUAAGUAUGAUACGUUAAUAAUGACUUAGAUCUAUUGGUAAGUUCUUGGUUGGCCUUUCCUUUCUCACUCCAUCUG
Molecule: long non-coding RNA, 420 nt
Organism: Lolium rigidum
Lineage: Eukaryota; Viridiplantae; Streptophyta; Magnoliopsida; Poales; Poaceae
Exons: 3
Source: RefSeq, a predicted model, not a curated record